This 514-nucleotide ribosomal RNA is filed under the name Nemesia sp. CRBAMM000118. RNAcentral describes it as "partial 16S ribosomal RNA". It matches the Rfam family "Bacterial large subunit ribosomal RNA", at positions 1880 to 2717 of the family's 2925-position model. Lineage: Eukaryota; Metazoa; Arthropoda; Arachnida; Araneae; Nemesiidae. The record is from RNAcentral.
CUAACAGAAAUUAAUGUAAGUAUCAGCUGCUCAUGAAAUAAUAAAUAGCCGCAAAUUUGUGCUAAGGUAGCAUAAUAAUUUGCCUUUUAAUUGGAGGAUAGAAUGAAAGGUAUAACAUAUAGAAAACUUUAUUAAUUUCUUUCUUUAAACCUGACUUUUUAGUAAAAAGGCUAAAAUAAUAAAGAGGACGACAAGACCCUGACAAACUUUACACUUUUGUUUUACUGGGGGGGUAAAAAAACUUUAUCUUUUAUAUAUAAUGACCAAAAAAUAUUCAUUUAAGUUACUGCAGGGAUAACAGCAUAAUUUUUUCCAAAAGAUCUUAUAUAAGAAAAAGUUUGUGACCUCGAUGUUGAAUUAGGAAUCUACAAAGAGCAAAACCUUUGCAAGUAAGUCUGUUCGACUUUUAAUAUCCUACAUGAUUUGAGUUCAGACCGGCGUAAGCCAGGUCGGUUUCUAUCUCUUUUUAAAAAUUCUUAGUACGAAAGGACCAGAAUUUCAAUUUUUCAUUAAC